RNAcentral lists this ribosomal RNA (497 nucleotides) under uncultured bacterium. Its description in RNAcentral is "partial 16S ribosomal RNA". It matches the Rfam family "Bacterial small subunit ribosomal RNA", at positions 28 to 507 of the family's 1533-position model. The record is from RNAcentral.
GAUGAACGCUGGCGGCGUGCCUAAUACAUGCAAGUCGAGCGAACAGACGAGGAGCUUGCUCCUCUGACGUUAGCGGCGGACGGGUGAGUAACACGUGGAUAACCUACCUAUAAGACUGGGAUAACUUCGGGAAACCGGAGCUAAUACCGGAUAAUAUAUUGAACCGCAUGGUUCAAUAGUGAAAGACGGUUUUGCUGUCACUUAUAGAUGGAUCCGCGCCGCAUUAGCUAGUUGGUAAGGUAACGGCUUACCAAGGCAACGAUGCGUAGCCGACCUGAGAGGGUGAUCGGCCACACUGGAACUGAGACACGGUCCAGACUCCUACGGGAGGCAUCAGUAGGGAAUCUUCCGCAAUGGGCGAAAGCCUGACGGAGCAACGCCGCGUGAGUGAUGAAGGUCUUCGGAUCGUAAAACUCUGUUAUUAGGGAAGAACAAAUGUGUAAGUAACUAUGCACGUCUUGACGGUACCUAAUCAGAAAGCCACGGCUAACUACGUG